UACGAAGGGGGCUAGCGUUGCUCGGAAUUACUGGGCGUAAAGCGCACGUAGGCGGCUUUUUAAGUCGGAGGUGAAAUCCUGGAGCUCAACUCCAGAACUGCCUUCGAUACUGGAGAGCUUGAGUCCGGGAGAGGUGAGUGGAACUGCGAGUGUAGAGGUGAAAUUCGUAGAUAUUCGCAAGAACACCAGUGGCGAAGGCGGCUCACUGGCCCGGUACUGACGCUGAGGCGCGAAAGCGUGGGGAGCAAACAGG
Molecule: ribosomal RNA, 253 nt
Filed under: uncultured bacterium
Lineage: Bacteria
Description: partial 16S ribosomal RNA
Rfam family: Bacterial small subunit ribosomal RNA
Source: RNAcentral